GCACAUUCUCGGGGCGGGGCGAGAUUCCCCACCGGCGGUAUGCGUUUCGGCGCGAGCCCGCGAGCGCCUUUCCGGACAUUGCCGGAAAGGGUCAGCAGAUCCGGUGCGAAACCGGAGCCGACGGUCAAAGUCCGGAAGGAAGAGAAUGCAG
Molecule: non-coding RNA, 151 nt
Filed under: Martelella sp. AD-3
Lineage: Bacteria; Pseudomonadati; Pseudomonadota; Alphaproteobacteria; Hyphomicrobiales; Aurantimonadaceae
Also listed under: 1 other name
Description: FMN riboswitch aptamer (RFN element)
Rfam family: FMN riboswitch aptamer (RFN element)
About the family: The RFN element is a highly conserved domain that is found frequently in the 5'-untranslated regions of prokaryotic mRNAs that encode for flavin mononucleotide (FMN) biosynthesis and transport proteins.
Source: Rfam by way of RNAcentral